UGCCAGCAGCCGCGGUAACACGAACCGUGCGAGCGUUGCGCGGAAUCACUGGGCUUAAAGCGUGCGUAGGCGGACAUGCAGGCGUUUUGUGAAAUCCCUCGGCUCAACCGAGGAAUUGCUUGACGAACCGUGUGUCUUGAGGCAAGUAGGGGCUGUCGGAACGAUAGGUGGAGUGGUGAAAUGCGAUGAUAUCUAUCGGAACGCCGAAGGAGAAAUCAGGCAGCUGGGCUUGUUCUGACGCUGAGGUACGAAAGCGUGGGGAGCGAACGGGAUUAGAUA
Molecule: ribosomal RNA, 279 nt
Filed under: uncultured bacterium
Lineage: Bacteria
Description: partial 16S ribosomal RNA
Rfam family: Bacterial small subunit ribosomal RNA
Source: RNAcentral